Long non-coding RNA from Passer domesticus (house sparrow), 811 nucleotides. RefSeq lists it as uncharacterized. The record is from RefSeq and is a predicted model, not a curated record. The transcript has 3 exons. NCBI's taxonomy places the organism in Eukaryota, Metazoa, Chordata, Aves, Passeriformes, Passeridae.
AGCCAGUGGCCCUGACUGUAGCCUUGGGUAGGUACUGCCAUGUCCACCCUCUUGGCAGUCCUGUCCCCAGGCCUGUGAGGAGCAAAACAAAGUGUAACUUCCAGCUGCCACCUCUCCUGUGAGCUGCAGGUAGGUUACCUGCUUAUUCAAUGGUCCCUGUGAAUGAUUUCAUGGAUUUAUGGAAACAUCCAUGUCAGACCCUCGGCGCCUCAGAGGCAUCAAGGAAAAUGUACACCUGGAGCUCUGAAGAUUGCCAUUAGUUGUGACACUUCCAAUAGGAAGCUCUGUAAUUUGGAAUGCAGAGGAAGGAAACCUACUGGAUUAAAACAGAGGAAGACAGAAAAUUCUUCAGAUUUUCAAAUGUGGAGAAAAGAGACCUCAGCUACCUCCCAGUGCAUAACCAGUUCUGCCUUUCAUGACUGCACCAUGACAAGUAUCUCAUAAUGCACUGCAAUUCUUCCCUGCAUGCAAGCGCAUCAAAAUGGCUACACAUCUGAUGUUGUGUUUGGUUCUCAGUUUCAGAUAAAACUACUUGCAUAAAUAAUCUUGUAAAACUUCUGGGGUUUUUAUCUCUUGUAUUUAUUAGUGCAUACUGACACCAUGAUAAUUAUAUCACUGCAAUGAUACCAAUUGAAAAUUCUGAUUAAAUGACUUGCACAGAUCCAGCUUCAUUUCUGAAGGAAGUGUGCUUGAUAUCAGUGUUUUCCCAAAGGGCAGAAUUAUCGAAAGUGCAGGGUGGGGCUGAAAAAAGGAACAACUUCAGUCAGUCAUUAACUUUUUAGUAAAAGACAAUAUGCUUCACACCAAAUAA